Molecule: ribosomal RNA, 497 nt
Filed under: uncultured bacterium
Lineage: Bacteria
Description: partial 16S ribosomal RNA
Rfam family: Bacterial small subunit ribosomal RNA
Source: RNAcentral
GAUGAACGCUGACGGCGUGCCUAAUACAUGCAAGUCGAGCGAACGGACGAGAAGCUUGCUUCUCUGAUGUUAGCGGCGGACGGGUGAGUAACACGUGGAUAACCUACCUAUAAGACUGGGAUAACUUCGGGAAACCGGAGCUAAUACCGGAUAAUAUUUUGAACCGCAUGGUUCAAAAGUGAAAGACGGUCUUGCUGUCACUUAUAGAUGGAUCCGCGCUGCAUUAGCUAGUUGGUAAGGUAACGGCUUACCAAGGCAACGAUGCAUAGCCGACCUGAGAGGGUGAUCGGCCACACUGGAACUGAGACACGGUCCAGACUCCUACGGGAGGCAGCAGUAGGGAAUCUUCCGCAAUGGGCGAAAGCCUGACGGAGCAACGCCGCGUGAGUGAUGAAGGUCUUCGGAUCGUAAAACUCUGUUAUUAGGGAAGAACAUAUGUGUAAGUAACUGUGCACAUCUUGACGGUACCUAAUCAGAAAGCCACGGCUAACCACGUG